AGCAGCCGCGGUAAUUCCAGCUCCAAUAGCGUAUAUUAAAGUUGUUGCAGUUAAAAAGCUCGUAGUUGAAUUUCGGGAUCAAAGGAUCGGUCAUGCCUUGGUAUGUACUGGUUUUAUUGGUUCUCACCUUCUAAAGAACCAUAAUGUCAUUCAUUUGAUGUUAUGGGGAAUUAGGACUGUUACCUUGAAAAAAUUAGAGUGUUUAAAGCAGGCUUACGCUUGAAUACAUUAGCAUGGAAUAAUGAAAUAGGACAUCAGAUUCUAUUUUGUUGGUUCUAGGAUCGAUGUAAUGAUUAAUAGGGAUAGUUGGGGGCAUUAGUAUUCAAUUGUCAGAGGUGAAAAUUCUUGGAUUUAUUGAAGACUAACUACUGCGAAAGCAUUUGCCAAGGAUGUUUUCAUUAAUCAAGAACGAAAGUUAGGGGAUCGAAGACGAUCAGAUACCGUCGUAGUCUUAACCAUAAACUAUGCCGACUAGGGAUCGGAUGAUGUUAAUUUAUAAUGACUCAUUCGG
Molecule: unclassified non-coding RNA, 511 nt
Filed under: uncultured Glomus
Lineage: Eukaryota; Fungi; Glomeromycota; Glomeromycetes; Glomerales; Glomeraceae
Description: SSU rRNA
Rfam family: Eukaryotic small subunit ribosomal RNA
Source: RNAcentral